UUUUUGGUGUUUUUGGUUGGGGGAGUGGGCUCGCGGCCUAUCAGCUUGUUGGUGGGGUGAUGGCCUACCAAGGCGGUGACGGGUAGCCGGCCUGAGAGGGUGGACGGUCACACUGGGACUGAGACACGGCCCAGACUCCUACGGGAGGCAGCAGUGGGGAAUAUUGCACAAUGGGCGCAAGCCUGAUGCAGCGACGCCGCGUGAGGGAUGGAGGCCUUCGGGUUGUGAACCUCUUUCGCCAGUGAAGCAGGCCUGCCUCGUUUGUGGGUGGGUUGACGGUAGCUGGAUAAGAAGCGCCGGCUAACUAC
This 308-nucleotide ribosomal RNA is filed under the name uncultured bacterium. RNAcentral's name for it is "bacterial SSU rRNA". It matches the Rfam family "Bacterial small subunit ribosomal RNA", at positions 202 to 504 of the family's 1533-position model. The record is from RNAcentral.